GUUGCGGUUAAAAAGCUCGUAGUUGGAUUUCUGCUUGGGACGACCGGUCCGCCCUCUGGGUGAGUUCUGGUUCGGCCCGGGCAUCUUCUUGGGGUUCAUUGCGGUGAUUGACUUCAUUGCGUGGAGCCCAAGACCUUUACUUUGAGGAAAUUAGAGUGUUUCAAGCAGGCUUCUGCCUUGAAUACAUUAGCAUGGAAUAAUAAGAUAGGACCUCGUCCCUACCUUGUUGGUUCGUAGAGAUGAGGUAAUGAUUAAUAGGGAUAGUCGGGGGCAU
RNAcentral lists this ribosomal RNA (274 nucleotides) under uncultured marine eukaryote. RNAcentral's name for it is "partial 18S ribosomal RNA". It matches the Rfam family "Eukaryotic small subunit ribosomal RNA", at positions 612 to 891 of the family's 1831-position model. The record is from RNAcentral.